RNAcentral lists this long non-coding RNA (339 nucleotides) under Capra hircus (goat). RNAcentral describes it as "lncRNA (ENSCHIG00010023917.1)". Lineage: Eukaryota; Metazoa; Chordata; Mammalia; Artiodactyla; Bovidae. The record is from RNAcentral.
CCGCACCAUCAUGCCAUCCACCGCCGCGGGCAGAGGGCACUGGGCUGCGGCGGCCGGAGCCCCGGCGGCGCGGAGCGGGCCCGGGGGCCACAGAAUGCAAGAGGCUCUUCGGGUCGCGGUGAGGGGCUGCAGCUUUCGGCCUCUUGGAGGGCUUGCAGGAACCAUGAACCGGGGCAGAGCAAACUCACAGACUGCUGGGCUGCUGCUGCCGCCGCCGCCGCCUUCCUGGGCAUGGCCCGGUCCGACUGCCGGGGCAGGGGGGGGUCGGGAGAGGGAAGCUGGGAGUUGUCCUUCCUUCCUUUCUUUGAAAUAAAAAUCCUUUCCUCGGGGAGGAGCGCG